This 577-nucleotide ribosomal RNA is filed under the name uncultured bacterium. RNAcentral's name for it is "partial 16S ribosomal RNA". It matches the Rfam family "Bacterial small subunit ribosomal RNA", at positions 355 to 923 of the family's 1533-position model. The record is from RNAcentral.
UGGGGAAUUUUGGACAAUGGGUGAAAGCCUGAUCCAGCAAUGCCGCGUGUGUGAAGAAGGCCUUCGGGUUGUAAAGCACUUUUGUCCGGAAAGAAAUCCUUGGCUCUAAUACAGUCGGGGGAUGACGGUACCGGAAGAAUAAGCACCGGCUAACUACGUGCCAGCAGCCGCGGUAAUACGUAGGGUGCAAGCGUUAAUCGGAAUUACUGGGCGUAAAGCGUGCGCAGGCGGUUUGCUAAGACCGAUGUGAAAUCCCCGGGCUCAACCUGGGAACUGCAUUGGUGACUGGCAGGCUAGAGUAUGGCAGAGGGGGGUAGAAUUCCACGUGUAGCAGUGAAAUGCGUAGAGAUGUGGAGGAAUACCGAUGGCGAAGGCAGCCCCCUGGGCCAAUACUGACGCUCAUGCACGAAAAGCGUGGGGAGCAAACAGGAUUAGAUACCCUGGUAGUCCACGCCCUAAAACGAUGUCAACUAGUUGUUGGGGAUUCAUUUCCUUAGUAACGUAGCUAACGCGUGAAGUUGACCGCCUGGGGAGUACGGUCGCAAGAUUAAAACUCAAAUGAAUUGACGGGGUCAUA